RNAcentral lists this ribosomal RNA (253 nucleotides) under uncultured bacterium. Its description in RNAcentral is "partial 16S ribosomal RNA". It matches the Rfam family "Bacterial small subunit ribosomal RNA", at positions 524 to 776 of the family's 1533-position model. The record is from RNAcentral.
GACAGAGGGUGCAAACGUUGUUCGGAAUUACUGGGCGUAAAGCGAGUGUAGGCGGUCUGAUAAGUCGGGUGUGAAAGCCCUGGGCUCAACCCAGGAAGUGCACUCGAAACUGCCAGGCUAGAGUAUCGGAGAGGUUGGUGGAAUUCUCGGUGUAGAGGUGAAAUUCGUAGAUAUCGAGAGGAACACCGGUGGCGAAGGCGGCCAACUGGACGAAUACUGACGCUGAGACUCGAAAGCGUGGGGAGCAAACAGG